GACCAGCAGAGCUUGCCUGCAGUCUGGAGAGAUGCAGCCCUGGACAAGGAGAUGCAGCCAGGAGGGCAGUGCAUGCUCGUCGUGUGAUUUCUAUGGUGACUUCGUUAUAGAACUCAGCCCCAGCCUGUGUGCAGUGCAGACAGUAAUUCUGAGAUGAGACAAAGCCUGAAAGAACUGCAUUGUAACUGCUGAAAAGAAGCUGUUUCCAUCAGCCACCUCAUCAGAAAGCUUGGCAAUGUGGAAGCAGAAAGGUCUCUUCUGGUUACUGACCUCCACUGUGUUCUCUUCAUUCAGUGCCAUCAGUAGGCACUACCUGGCCCUGCUCCAGCCUCCAAGAAAGCCCCAGCUAACCAAACAGCUGCUGACAAAACCCACGCUCCAUAACGUGUCUCUACUGUGCACCUCAAUAUCUGUGUUUCUUCUUCCUCUAAACCAAAAAGGUAGCUGAUGGCAAAAAUAUAUUCA
Molecule: long non-coding RNA, 465 nt
Filed under: Gallus gallus (chicken)
Lineage: Eukaryota; Metazoa; Chordata; Aves; Galliformes; Phasianidae
Description: long non-coding RNA NONGGAT001396
Source: RNAcentral